UACAGAGGGUGCAAGCGUUAAUCGGAAUUACUGGGCGUAAAGCGUGCGUAGACGGUUACAUAAGUCGGGUGUGAAGGCCCCGGGCUCAACCUGGGAAUUGCAUUCGAGACUGCGUAGCUAGGGUGCGGAAGAGGGAAGCGGAAUUUCCGGUGUAGCGGUGAAAUGCGUAGAUAUCGGAAGGAACACCAGUGGCGAAAGCGGCUUCCUGGUCCAGCACCGACGUCAGGCACGAAAGCGUGGGGAGCAAACAGGG
RNAcentral lists this ribosomal RNA (253 nucleotides) under uncultured bacterium. RNAcentral describes it as "partial 16S ribosomal RNA". It matches the Rfam family "Bacterial small subunit ribosomal RNA", at positions 524 to 777 of the family's 1533-position model. The record is from RNAcentral.